Long non-coding RNA from Pogoniulus pusillus (Red-fronted tinkerbird), 682 nucleotides. RefSeq lists it as uncharacterized. NCBI's taxonomy places the organism in Eukaryota, Metazoa, Chordata, Aves, Piciformes, Lybiidae. The record is from RefSeq and is a predicted model, not a curated record. The transcript has 4 exons.
UCCCUGACUGGAGAGAUGGUAAAACUAAAAAGCAUAAAACAACUCCAUGAACACCAAGGUCAGAGUGAAAGGAGAGGGAGAAGGUGCUUCAGGCACUGGAGCAGACAUUUCCUUACAGGUUGUAGAGGAGAUCACAGUGGACCAGCAUGCUCUGGAAGUGCCAAACAGCUGUUGGAAGGUGAACAGACUUGAGACCACUCUGUGCUUUUCCAGAACGUUGCACUCUGCUCCCAAUUUUCCUUUCCAUUCACUGGGGCAGUGUGUGAGCAGCUUUGUGCUGGCUGGGCCCAACCCCACAACACAUGGUUAUCAGUCUACUUCACCAUGACAGUCAGGAGAGUUGUCUUGCACUGUGAAAAUCAGAUUUCCUCUGUCUGAAAGGCCUAGACCUGUGAGUAACCUGCCUAAUGCCACAGCUACUGAGUAAUGUUUCUUCAGCUUUCCUCAUUUGCUGUUCCCAGGAUUCAUAGGUAAUGACAAUUUUUCCUUGGAGCAAAGCACCACAGAAAGUGUUGUCAUAAUACCACAUGGAAUAGCACUUAGAUAAAAUUACGUACAACCUGUAUAAGCUAUUCAGAUUUAGUUCUGAUUUUCUCUGUUAAGUAUGGGUAAAUUCUUUUCAAACAGGCUAGCAAUAAUUUUGUAAGAAAGCUCUGUCUAUAAUUAAAUCUACAAAAGAGUU